UCCUACGGGGGGCAGCAGUGGGGGAUAUUGCACAAUGGGGGGAACCCUGAUGCAGCGACGCCGCGUGGGUGAAGAAGCGCCUCGGCGCGUAAAGCCCUGUCAGCAGGGAAGAAAAUGACGGUACCUGAAGAAGAAGCCCCGGCUAACUACGUGCCAGCAGCCGCGGUAAUACGUAGGGGGCAAGCGUUAUCCGGAUUUACUGGGUGUAAAGGGGGCGCAGACGGCGAUGCAAGCCAGGAGUGAAAGCCCGGGGCCCACCCCCGGGACUGCUCUUGGAACUGCAUGGCUGGAGUGCAGGAGGGGCG
This 305-nucleotide ribosomal RNA is filed under the name uncultured bacterium. Its description in RNAcentral is "partial 16S ribosomal RNA". It matches the Rfam family "Bacterial small subunit ribosomal RNA", at positions 337 to 659 of the family's 1533-position model. The record is from RNAcentral.